This 803-nucleotide ribosomal RNA is filed under the name uncultured Bacteroidota bacterium. Its description in RNAcentral is "bacterial SSU rRNA". It matches the Rfam family "Bacterial small subunit ribosomal RNA", at positions 51 to 848 of the family's 1533-position model. The record is from RNAcentral. Lineage: Bacteria; Pseudomonadati; Bacteroidota.
ACACAUGCAAGUCGCGGGGCAGCAUGGGGGUUGCUUGCAACCCCCGAUGGCGACCGGCGCACGGGUGAGUAACGCGUAUCCAACCUGCCCUUCACCACGGGAUAACCCGGCGAAAGUCGGACUAAUACCGUAUGUUGUCCAUUGACGGCAUCCGAUUUGGACGAAAGGCUUUGCGGUGAAGGAUGGGGAUGCGUCCGAUUAGCUUGACGGCGGGGUAACGGCCCACCGUGGCUACGAUCGGUAGGGGUUCUGAGAGGAAGGUCCCCCACACUGGAACUGAGACACGGUCCAGACUCCUACGGGAGGCAGCAGUGAGGAAUAUUGGUCAAUGGGCGCAAGCCUGAACCAGCCAAGUAGCGUGCAGGAUGACGGCCCUAUGGGUUGUAAACUGCUUUUAUGCGGGGAUAAAGUGGCCCACGUGUGGGCUUUUGCAGGUACCGCAUGAAUAAGGACCGGCUAAUUCCGUGCCAGCAGCCGCGGUAAUCCGGAAGGUCCGGGCGUUAUCCGGAUUUAUUGGGUUUAAAGGGAGCGUAGGCCGCGCCUUAAGCGUGUUGUGAAAUCCGGUUGCUCAACAUCCGGCUUGCAGCGCGAACUGGGGCGCUUGAGUGCGCUGAAAGUAGGCGGAAUUCGUGGUGUAGCGGUGAAAUGCUUAGAUAUCACGAGGAACUCCGAUUGCGAAGGCAGCCUACUGUAGCGCUACUGACGCUGGUGCUCGAAGCGUGGGUAUCGAACAGGAUUAGAUACCCUGGUAGUCCACGCGGUAAACGAUGGAUGCUCGUUGUCGGCCCUUUGGGUCGGUGACC